AUCGUCGGCGGCAGCCUUCCCUGGACGCGGGCGCCUCGGGGACGGCCCAGUCGCGCGGUCUCCCAGGAGGGUGCGGCAACGGCGUCGGGGGCGCAGGGCAGCAGACCGCGCAGCAGUUGAUCUAAAAAAUUCCCAACCCUGGUCGCAAUCCUCGCAUCUCCUUUUCCGCGUCGCCUCCACGGAGAACUCCUCGUUUCAAGCGUGACGCCUUCAUAUUCACUGGAUGUUUCCCCGCGUCUUCGUCAACAGGCGCCGCCUAGGUUUGUCUCCUAGACACAAUUGAUCUCGAAGCAGCAACACAACGUGGUUGCCGGAUUAUGUGGCCGUAGUCAUGGGAGGAGCCGUGCUGCCGGUUACCUGUGCUCUUUGGCCGGAAAGACGUCUUUGGAGGCAUGGAGAGAUACCAUGGAGACGCAGUGGCGACUCCAGGGAACUAGACACGAACGCGGCAAGGAUUGAAUUGUGCCACAACUGCAGCGGUACGGUGAGGGGAUUUGACUCGUCGAAUCAUGGGCCACGGUGGCAAGCCCAACGCCCCUGCUCCGCCAAGCGCACCGACUUUGGCCCGACACAACCCAGCCAUGCCGCCCCGACCAUGGUUGCCAGAAUCACUGUGGGGUUCAUGCUCGGCGCAUGUGAUUCUGUAGUUCCGUUCAUGCUCCGCGCAUGUGGUUCUGUAGUUGCCUCACUGCCCAGUGUUAAGUGUUUGUGAAGGAGAUGACCACUAAAACAACACAGAAGUGCCUUGGUUAAUCCGAUUUAUCAUGGUGCGAUAUUCUUUUGUUGCUGCUGAUUAUACUAAUCAACUGUAAGUCUGCAUGUUUUCAGGGCGGACACUGCUGAAGAUCAAGAAAUCCUUCCGCAGUGUUGGCAACAUGUUGUAUGACAGACCCGACGACAAGGCAUGUGCGAGCUACUACUCCGGGCGUGACGUGCUCUCAACAACAUCACCUUCACCAUUUGUGAGAAGCUCUCUCUAGCAAAAUCUUAUGUUCUGUCGCCGGCUGCAGACCUGCAGUAUGCAAUUACUAACACGUGUUCAUGUGUGCAAUGACUGCAACCUCUGAGGGUUAAAUCUUGGUGGCAAAAUUUCCCCAGCCAUCAGGGAGGAUUCGAAGAGCAUUAUGUCAACGCAAAUGAGAUUGAUGAUUGUUCGUCGCUUAUCAUUGCAUCGCUUGGGUUUCUCUGGAGAAGGUUCCAAUAGUGUUUUGAAAAGGUCAGAUUCUGGUUCGUGUGGGUUGCUACACUACGUUUUCUUUUUGCUAAUUCUUGAGCUAAUUAUUGGCUGAGGAUUUACAUGUGAUAUUAGGUAUUUAGGGCAAUGACAGUGCUAUGAGAUUAAUUAGCAUGUAAAUCUUUCACAAACAAGUUUAAUCACCUGUAAGCCUCCCAUGGUAUCUCCACAAGCUUUAUUGGCAAGGCAGUCCGAAUUUUUCAGCAUGCAAAGUUUCGAGAAGGACAAGUAUCUUGGUUAGAAAUAUUUGCCAGAAAUUGGAAGAACUACAUAUCCAUUAGUUCUGCUCUGCUCAGCUAGCUUUAGAAUGGAUUAUGUGUUAACUAAUUUCUAAUCUCAUUGUUGUGUCCUUGUAAACAAAAUGUGUUAGCAUGUCAGAGUUCAGUGUCAUUCAGUUUUUGUUAUGCAAAAACUGCAUAUAUCCAGUUAGUUCUGUUUGCUUUUACAGAGAGGUAUUUCUCUCCCUAAACUUUGUGUUAUCCAUUUGAAUUCCGCUAGACAUAUCCCGCUUGCACAUAGUAGGUUUAUACUACAAGAGGCGCUAAACAUAGGACUUGUAGUAUAACCGGAUCUAUACACGCGAUUAAGUAUAUAUAUGCUCAAGCAGCUACAGAAUCUCAAUUUUGUUUAUUGCAUAGACAUUGUGUGCAUGCAUACAAUUUUUUUAAACAAUGGCUAUGUUGCAUGCUGGCGUCCCUAUGUUUCUAUCCACAAGGCUAUAUAUGUGACUUACCAUCAGAAAUAAAAUGAGUAAUAGUGGCUGAGGAGAAGCUACAUUCUGUAGCUAGCUGGGGAACUAGCAUAAUAGAGAACAAUACAUCAUGUGUAUAAAUUCUGAACCAUGUAAAGAUGAGGAGAAUAAGUAAUCACAUGCCUUUUGUUACUCCGUUGUUCAUAUUUAGAACUAGAGAGAGGGAAAGACAGAGUUGCUAGCUCACACUACUUGAGACUGAAGGUUAUUAGGACUUAAAUUUUCUGUAUAGUACCACAUAUGAUGGCAUGUAGUUUUAGUAUAUACACAUACUUGAGAUGUUUCUGGGUAAAGGUGGAGCUAUGAAUCUAAGCUUAGCCUUUAUUGCUACUUUAUUCCUUAUUCUUUUUAGGGAACAAUAAUAUAGCAUGAUGAUGAAUUCAUAAGCUUCCAAGGGAGCGGAGUAUCCCUGGUCUUAAAACUUUUUGAGCUCCAUAAACAGGAAUGACAAAGUGAUAGCGCUAAUAAGGCGAAUUCAAAACCAGAUUCAUAGGGUGAUUGUGAUUUUUCUUCCUGAGUUAUGUUUUGUUAACUUUAAAAUUUUCCCUAUCCCUUCACCCCUGCCGAGGCAUUAGUUUAUGUGAAGCCUGAAACAAAUUCGAUUCCACAAUUGUCGACAGUAAUGAGUGUGAGUUGCAGCGAUGUUGGGAUUGUCACAUGUCCUCCUUGAUUUAAUGUCUACCCUUCACAUGUUACCAUUUCUUGUAGGAAACAACAAGAGCUCGGCAACUAUUCAUUGGACUUGGAAUAAAUGCGGAAAUAAAAAAGAAGCUAUUGCAAGCGCACUGAUGAGGACCAGGCAGAGAAGUAGCCAAGCAUGAGAAAGUUCGUCAUCAUACUUUGUCUUGUAUUUCAAGUGUUACUUGGGUGUGGGGAAAUGGACAUUGUGAUUGCUGGGAAGGGAGUUGAGUGGGAGUAAGACAUAGGACUUUGUGAACAAAUUUAAAUUCUGAAGGGAAAGACCUUCGCGCUCAAUACAUGGUCAGAAAACUUCA
Aegilops tauschii subsp. strangulata is the source of this 2980-nucleotide non-coding RNA. The record is from RefSeq and is a predicted model, not a curated record. NCBI's taxonomy places the organism in Eukaryota, Viridiplantae, Streptophyta, Magnoliopsida, Poales, Poaceae.